This is a long non-coding RNA of Mytilus californianus (California mussel), 2089 nucleotides long. RefSeq lists it as uncharacterized. The record is from RefSeq and is a predicted model, not a curated record. The transcript is spliced from 3 exons. NCBI's taxonomy places the organism in Eukaryota, Metazoa, Mollusca, Bivalvia, Mytilida, Mytilidae.
AAUUGGGUGUUGAAUGCCAGUAGAUCUGAAUUUGUAAAUUUUUAAAUUGAAUUUAACCUGUUUAGAACGUGUAUUGUUGAAUUGUUCAAUAAAAUUACACACAUAAUCUGGGCUGAUAUGCAUAAAACCACUUUAAGUUCAAGGUAUCAAUAAAACUGGGUCUGCAUGAAAAAAUGACUUAUCACAUAAUACCAGAACCUAUGUUUAGCCGAUAAGAAAAUAUAGCUGUAGGCCUAGGUGAAAAUCUUUACAAAUUAUUUAUUCUUUUAAUUUCUGUUUGACUGUCUGGGUGCUUCUUAUGUGUUUUAAAUGCUAUAGUCAAGUUUUAUAUACUGUUGUACGUCAUUUGGUCGUUUUUAAGUUUUUGCCAUGGCGUUUGUCAGUAUGUCUUCGACUUAUAAGUUUUAUCAAGGAUUUGUAUAGUGAGAUUGGUUUUAUAUAAUCUGCAUCUCUUGUGCUGUAUUUUAAAAUGUAUUACAAUUGCUGCACCUUUACACAUUCAUCAAUACACCAAAAAAUAUGAAUAAAGCUUUCGUAUAUAUAUAAAUAAGGAGAUGUGGUACGAUUGGUAAUGAAACAACUAUCCGCCAGUUCAAUUCAAAAACCUGAUAUAAGCAAAUGUGACUUACUUACUUACUUUUGUCAGAGAGAUCUUGAAUCUGAAUUCAAGGAUACGAAGUGGGAAGGGUUUAGAGGUGGAUUAAGGUGAGGGCAUGGGGGGCCGCCCCUUUUUUGGAAAAAAAUUGGUUGAUUAUUUAGAGAAUCAAUGAAGCGGGCCCCCUCUUUAUGCAUGACAGUUAGUGCCUCCUUAUGACAUUUUUUGGAUCCGCAACUGGUGAGGACUUCAUAAAAAAUUAUUAAGUAAGUUUGUGUUUUGUGAUAAAUAAUGUAUUUAGACAGAAAUAGGAUAAAAUAAACUACCGAAAGCUUAAGUAUGGAUGGGGGUUAACAGAAUAGAGAAUAACGGGCAAACAAUAAAGAUUAAAGAAUAAUGAAAUGCUAAAAUAUGAGGAAAGAGAGUAAUGAGCAAAAAGUGUAAGUUUGUAGAAAUAUAGCAAAAAAAAAAAUAAAGAACACAGAAAAAGAAGACCCCCCCAAGAUCCUGACUUCAACUUUUACGCUGCUGGGAUAUUUUUUAGACAAAGUGCACGUAUUAGUAGUCAGCCGAAACCACUAAGCGUUUUGCAUCCAUACGGUUUUUUUUUCGGGAUACUGACUGCAUAGUAAACUAUCAAUGUACUAGUUAAUGUUCUCGAGGGAUGACCCUAUUACAGAGACAUAUAUACACAUAUGUGUAAAUAUGUCUCUGCCCUAUUACGUGUCAGUAACCUACUCGACACGGUUCAUUUUUACGGCGGCUCAGUUUUGUCUUAAGAAUAAACAUAAUUGAUAAGUUUCUUUCCCCUGCAUUUUUCGAUCGCACUUGUAAAUAGCACAUUGGUCUCAAUUAAGACAUUGGUUACAACACUUGCCGUCAGUACUCAAAAUUGGAAAAAUAUUAAAUAAGAAGGUUGCCAGCAAGAUGAAAAGAACAAUGCAGUUCAAAAGUCAAAAUGUGGAUAAGCUGCGGUACAAAGUCCAACUUUUGCAGAUUUUCAUAUUUUGCAUGAAUGAAUUUGAAGUUUAUAUCCUGGAGGGCAGAGAAAGAAAAGAAACACUUCAGUUUUCCUGCUUCUGAAGGAUAAAUGUAAAACAUCUUGUUUGAAGGAUUGGAAUUCAUCACUGAGAAUAGAAGGAGAAAACACAGAAACAAGACCAAAAUAAAUUCAAAGACAAAAGUCAGAUCAGUUAUUAUUUUCAUCACUCAGCCAAUGAAUUGCAGUUCUAUUAAAUAUCUAAAGAUAUUAAAACCACAAUAAUGACAAUGUUCUGUGCUGAAUGGCAAAAAAGUGGACUAUACAUUACGAUCACACAAUGCUGGAUGAUAAGAAACUAUUAAUUUUUUGGGUGGAGGGAUAUCCUGAAAAAAAAAUAGAUUUAUGUAAAAAGCUACUAGUAUGUUAAGCCUAUUAAUAGAGUUUUCAUUGAUUUCAAAUGGGAAAAAAUUGUGUUUCAAAAAAGUGUUCUAGAAUUCAUGAAUAAACAUAUA